RNAcentral lists this ribosomal RNA (484 nucleotides) under uncultured bacterium. RNAcentral describes it as "partial 16S ribosomal RNA". It matches the Rfam family "Bacterial small subunit ribosomal RNA", at positions 899 to 1397 of the family's 1533-position model. The record is from RNAcentral.
ACUCAAAUGAAUUGACGGGGACCCGCACAAGCGGUGGAGCGUGUUGUUUAAUUCGAUGGUAAGCGAAGAACCUUACCCAGGUUUGACAUCCCGAGAAUUUCUCCGAAAGGAGAGAGUGCCGAAAGGAACUCGGUGACAGGUGUUGCAUGGCCGUCGUCAGCUCGUGUCGUGAGAUGUUUGGUUAAGUCCAUCAACGAGCGCAACCCUUAUAGUUAGUUGAAUUUCUCUAGCUAGACUGCCCUGGCAACAGGGAGGAAGGGGGGGAUGAUGUCAGGUCAGUAUUACCCUUACAUCUGGGGCUACAAACACGCUACAAUGGCCGGUACAAAGGGCAGCCAAGUCGCGAGACGGAGCAAAUCCCAUCAAAGCCGGUCUCAGUUCAGAUUGCAGGCUGAAACUCGCCUGCAUGAAGCCGGAAUCGCUAGUAAUGGUAGGUCAGCACACUACCGUGAAUACGUUCCCGGGUCUUGCACACACCGCCCGU